This 101-nucleotide transfer RNA is filed under the name Bryobacterales bacterium. Its description in RNAcentral is "tRNA-Phe". It matches the Rfam family "tRNA". Rfam says of the family: Transfer RNA (tRNA) molecules are approximately 80 nucleotides in length. Their secondary structure includes four short double-helical elements and three loops (D, anti-codon, and T loops). The record is from RNAcentral. Lineage: Bacteria; Pseudomonadati; Acidobacteriota; Terriglobia; Bryobacterales.
GGAAGCGAGUCAGAGUAGUUGAAUGCAGUGUACUGAAACUCCGUAGGACCGGCAAAAUACCAUUGACUCCGGUGCGGUGGGUUCGAAUCCCGCCGCUUCCG